Molecule: ribosomal RNA, 224 nt
Filed under: uncultured Lactobacillus sp.
Lineage: Bacteria; Bacillati; Bacillota; Bacilli; Lactobacillales; Lactobacillaceae
Description: partial 16S ribosomal RNA
Rfam family: Bacterial small subunit ribosomal RNA
Source: RNAcentral
CGGGAUAACACCUAGGAAACAGAUGCUAAUACCGGAUAACAACAGAUGAUGCCUAUCAACUGUUUAAAAGAUGGUUCUGCUAUCACUCUUGGAUGGACCUGCGGUGCAUUAGCUAGUUGGUAGGGUAACGGCCUACCAAGGCGAUGAUGCAUAGCCGAGUUGAGAGACUGAUCGGCCACAUUGGGACUGAGACACGGCCCAAACUCCUACGGGAGGCAGCAGCC